GUGCCAGCCGCCGCGGUAAUACGUAGGUGGCAAGCGUUAUCCGGAAUUAGUGGGCGUAAAGCGCGCGUAGGCGGUUUUUUAAGUCUGAUGUGAAAGCCCACGGCUCAACCGUGGAGGGUCAUUGGAAANUGGAAAACUUGAGUGCAGAAGAGGAAAGUGGAAUUCCAUGUGUAGCGGUGAAAUGCGCAGAGAUAUGGAGGAACACCAGUGGCGAAGGCGACUUUCUGGUCUGUAACUGACGCUGAUGUGCGAAAGCGUGGGGAUCAAACAGGAUUAG
RNAcentral lists this ribosomal RNA (277 nucleotides) under uncultured Staphylococcus sp. Its description in RNAcentral is "partial 16S ribosomal RNA". It matches the Rfam family "Bacterial small subunit ribosomal RNA", at positions 505 to 781 of the family's 1533-position model. Lineage: Bacteria; Bacillati; Bacillota; Bacilli; Caryophanales; Staphylococcaceae. The record is from RNAcentral.